This 253-nucleotide ribosomal RNA is filed under the name uncultured bacterium. Its description in RNAcentral is "partial 16S ribosomal RNA". It matches the Rfam family "Bacterial small subunit ribosomal RNA", at positions 524 to 776 of the family's 1533-position model. The record is from RNAcentral.
UACGGAGGGUGAGAGCGUUCUCCGGAAUUACUGGGUUUAAAGGGUGUGUAGGCGGCUUGAUAAGUCAGGGGUGAAAGCCUAUUGCUUAACGAUAGAAUUGCCUUUGGUACUGUAAAGAUUGAAAGGGGUUGAGGUCAGCAGAAUGUGGCAAGUAGCGGUGAAAUGCAUAGAUAUGCCAUAGAACACCGAUUGCGAAGGCAGCUGCCUGGGCCUACUUUGAAGCUGAGGCGCGAAAGCGUGGCGAGCGAACAGG